This 772-nucleotide ribosomal RNA is filed under the name uncultured bacterium. RNAcentral's name for it is "bacterial SSU rRNA". It matches the Rfam family "Bacterial small subunit ribosomal RNA", at positions 8 to 796 of the family's 1533-position model. The record is from RNAcentral.
AGAGUUUGAUCCUGGCUCAGGAUGAACGCUGGCGGCGUGCUUAACACAUGCAAGUCGAACGAUGAUGGGAGCUUGCUCCUGGAUUAGUGGCGAACGGGUGAGUAACACGUGAGUAACCUGCCCUUAACUCUGGGAUAAGCCUGGGAAACUGGGUCUAAUACCGGAUAUGACUCCUCAUCGCAUGGUGGGGGGUGGAAAGCUUUAUUGUGGUUUUGGAUGGACUCGCGGCCUAUCAGCUUGUUGGUGAGGUAAUGGCUCACCAAGGCGGCGAUCAGUAGCCGACCUGAGAGGGUGAUCGGCCACACUGGGACUGAGACACGGCCCAGACUCCUACGGGAGGCAGCAGUGGGGAAUAUUGCACAAUGGGCGCAAGCCUGAUGCAGCAACGCCGCGUGAACGAAGAAGGCCUUCGGGUCGUAAAGUUCUUUUCUCGAGGAAGAAGAAAUGACGGUACUCGAGGAAUAAGCACCGGCUAACUACGUGCCAGCAGCCGCGGUAAUACGUAGGGUGCAAGCGUUAUCCGGAAUCACUGGGCGUAAAGAGCUCGUAGGCGGUUUGUCGCGUCUGCCGUGAAAGUCCGGGGCUCAACUCCGGAUCUGCGGUGGGUACGGGCAGACUAGAGUGAUGUAGGGGAGACUGGAAUUCCUGGUGUAGCGGUGAAAUGCGCAGAUAUCAGGAGGAACACCGAUGGCGAAGGCAGGUCUCUGGGCAUUAACUGACGCUGAGGAGCGAAAGCAUGGGGAGCGAACAGGAUUAGAUACCCUGGUAGUCC